This is a long non-coding RNA of Achroia grisella, 1388 nucleotides long. RefSeq lists it as uncharacterized. The transcript is spliced from 2 exons. The record is from RefSeq and is a predicted model, not a curated record. NCBI's taxonomy places the organism in Eukaryota, Metazoa, Arthropoda, Insecta, Lepidoptera, Pyralidae.
ACAGUGGGAACUCGCCUAAGAAAGCCAUCUCAUAAAUACUUUUUCUAAAACUCCGUGGAUGUGCAUGUAUAAUACCUCAACUUGUAGCCAAAGAGUUACUCUAUCAUUAUAAAUAUGAUUCAAAUCUCUGACUAUUCAUACUUCAUAGAAUAGAGCCUCUAAAGUCAAGGAAUGAAAAAAAUACAAAAAUAAUUUUGUAACUUAAAUUUGUUUAGUAUAAGUUUAUAGUAUCAAAACAAUAUCAAGUCAUAUAGUGUGAUACCAUUUUAGAAUCCUUGGAAUGUGUACUUUACUAUAAUAUAAAAAUAUAUUUAGUUUAGUCGAAUAUUAUUUAACUAAAAAUCCAUAUAUCGUUAUAUGUACUAUUUUCUUUUCUCAGACUUUCACUUGGAGAUUUGACAGUUGCCGAAGCUUGCCGAAGUUCUAAAUUUGGUUUUAUUUAUUAGGAAAUAUAAUUUAAUUGGAUGGCAUAACAUUUUUUUUUGCAGUUUCACUGCGUAAAAUAUUUAAAUCGAGUAUAAUAUCAUGAUAGCCAAUAUAGCAAAAAUUAUCGCAAGUAUUUAGAAGUCCUUCAUAACUCAGUUUCGUCAACGCUAUACGAAAUGUGGUCGAAAGAAAGAACAGUUUUUAAAUAAAAUAGCAAUUGAUAGGAUGGUAUUUUCACUGUAAAUCUAGAAAAAACUACAUGCGAACCUACACCUCCUACUUCGACAGAGAAAAGAGGAAGACCUUCUAAAACGUACGAAGACAGUUCGGACAAAGAAACGGAAAAACAAGGGAUUGCUUGAUACCUGUGGACUUCAUACUGAACUCAUAAUAUGUACAGGGUUUAAGGGUUUCAUCGUUGAUAUUUUACGAGCAUUGCCGGCAGAAAACUAGAAUGAAAUGAGCAAUCUUAAUGAGUAAUCUUAUUAAUGAACCGGCACAUAUAGCAGCAUAUUCAAAACAUUAAGCUCUUAGCAUGUUCAUAAAAUUGGAUCUGAACAAGGCACAGUAUAAAAAUAUGAGGAGUUGUUUGAUAGCAACACUAAUGACGGCAAUACAGCCAGAAGAUUUUUCCAAAAUUAUCAUUGUACAUUAAAUAUCACUGGUAUAUAUGAGGAAUUAAUAAAACUGUUAUGUUAUGAAAUGAAAUGUGAACGUGUGACACGUCACUUUUCUGUCUUGCCUCUCGGGCAAGUUUCAGAAGAUGCUCAAGAGUUACGGAACAAAGACUAUAAACAGUUCAAGCUUCAUCAUGCAAGACAAUGUUCGAGGGUAGCCUCUAACAAAGAUGUUCUACACGCAUUUUUAUAUACCUCUGACCCAUACAUAACAAGUUUAAGAAAACCUUCAAAUUAAAAAUAUUUAGCACUUUUUGAUGAAGCAAAGGAGCUCUUGAGUGACUU